GCAGUAGCCGCGGUAAGACAGAGGAUGCAGGCAUUAUCCGGAAUGAUUGGGCGUAAAGCGUCUGUAGGUGGCUUUUCAAGUCCGCUGUCAAAUCCCAGGGCUCAACCCUGGACAGGCGGUGGAAACUACCAAGCUGGAGUACGGUAGUGGCAGAGGGAAUUUCCGGUGGAGCGAUGAAAUGCGUUGAGAUCGGAAAGAACACCAACAGCGAAAGCACUCUGUUGGGCCGACACUGACACUGAGAGACGAAAGUUAGGGGAGCAAAUGGGAUUAGAUACCCCCGUAGUCCCUGUCUUUAUACA
RNAcentral lists this ribosomal RNA (302 nucleotides) under uncultured bacterium. RNAcentral's name for it is "partial 16S ribosomal RNA". It matches the Rfam family "Bacterial small subunit ribosomal RNA", at positions 508 to 808 of the family's 1533-position model. The record is from RNAcentral.